GAGAGCCCACAGUGUGGCCAGGGCUCCCGGGCGCUGCCCUCCUGCAGAAGUGGACUCCGCUGGGAUGUGCUGAGGAGCAGUGUCACCAAGGCCAGGACGCCUGGCAGCGAGGGCCCCUCAGGUCACCCUGGCACACUCUGGGCAGGGCCUGGCUGCUGCCUUGGGGGGACACAGAGGCCCCCACUGUGUGAGCAAGCACUGGGCCCCUUGUGUGGCGCCUGGCUACCCCACACCUGCUGCCGCACACAGCGGGUCUGUGUUCCGGGGCCAGCAGCGCCCCAACUGACACCGUGCCGUCCCCUGUGGCCAUGCUCCCGGGGGGCGACUCCAUGCGCAACAGCACCAUGCAGGCAGGGCCUGAGGUCCCAGGGAGGAACACGUCAGGGCUGUCUCCCUCCCCUCAGGAGUCUUCGGACCAGCUGGCAGUCAUCACUGCGGCCAGCUCCGGUGUCAAGAUGGCCGAGGCCGGAGUUGACUGGCAGAGGCAGGACAGGACAUUCCCGGCUCUGAGGUGGGGCCGCCCCACUCAGCUUGGGCAGAGCCUGGGAGCUCUUGGCAGUUGCUAAGGCUGUGGGCGCGGAAGUGCACAGACCUGGCCCUGAGCGUGGGCUUUGCCUCACCUAAUACCCCAGGCUUCAAUUUCUGUCCCAAGAAAGUGGCAUCACAAAUGGGGUGUGGUGAUGCAGGCCUGUAACUCCAGCACUCUGGGAGGCUGAGGCAGGAGGACUGCAAGUUCAGGCUCAGGCUGAGCAAUUUAACAGCGACUUAGUGAGACCCUGUCUCAAAAUAAAAAAUGGCUGAGGAAGUGGCUCGGUGGAAAGGCCCUGAAUUCAUUCCUCAGUACUGAAAGGCGGGCAUCAUAUCCAUUUCUGGGGCGCCGCCCCGAGACUGGCCUGGGGUGGCCAUACGCCUAUGGUGGAAGAUCUCCCGCUGCAGGUUUGGUCUUCUGGGGCUGCUGGGACCUGGGGUGUCACGCAGCGUGGGCUCGGCAGACACGGGACAGGUGGCUCUGUGAGAGGCCAUCAGCAUCAGCAAAGCCAUCAACAGCCAGGAGGCCCCGUGAAGGAGAAGCAUGCCC
This 1078-nucleotide long non-coding RNA is filed under the name Heterocephalus glaber (naked mole-rat). Its description in RNAcentral is "lncRNA (ENSHGLG00100033371.1)". The record is from RNAcentral. Lineage: Eukaryota; Metazoa; Chordata; Mammalia; Rodentia; Bathyergidae.